AGUGAACGCUGGCGGUAGGCCUAACACAUGCAAGUCGAACGGCAGCACAGUAAUAGCUUGCUCUUACGGGUGGCGAGUAGCGGCCAGGUGAGGAAUACAUCGGAAUCUACUUUUUCGUGAGGGAUAACUUAGGGAAACUUACGCUAAUACCGCCUACGACCUACGGGUGAAAGCAGGGGAUCUUCGGACCCUGCGCGAUUGAAUGAGCCGAUGUCGGAUUAGCUAGUCGGCGGGGUAAAGGCCCACCAAGGCGACGAUCCGUAGCUGGUCUGAGAGGAUGAUCAGCCACACUGGAACUGAGACACGGUCCAGACUCCUACGGGAGGCAGCAGUGGGGAAUAUGGGACAUUGGGCGCAAGCCUGAUCCAGCCAUACCGCGUGGGUGAAGAAGGCCUUCGGGUUGUAAAGCCCUUUUGUUGGGAAAGAAAAGCAGCAGGUUAAUACCCCGCUGUUCUGACGGUACCCAAAGAAUAAGCACCGGCUAACUUCGUG
This 492-nucleotide ribosomal RNA is filed under the name uncultured bacterium. RNAcentral's name for it is "partial 16S ribosomal RNA". It matches the Rfam family "Bacterial small subunit ribosomal RNA", at positions 29 to 507 of the family's 1533-position model. The record is from RNAcentral.